This is a non-coding RNA of Aedes albopictus (Asian tiger mosquito), 58 nucleotides long. Lineage: Eukaryota; Metazoa; Arthropoda; Insecta; Diptera; Culicidae. The record is from Rfam.
UAGCCUAGUGGUUAAGGCUACGGAUCGCCAAUCCGGAGACGACGGGUUCGAUUCCCGU